UACGAAGGGUGCAAGCGUUAAUCGGAAUUACUGGGCGUAAAGGGCGCGUAGGCGGCUUUGUAAGUCGGGUGUGAAAUCCUCAGGCUUAACCUGGGAACUGCAUUCGAGACUGCAUUGCUAGAGUAUGGGAGAGGGAAGUGGAAUUUCCGGUGUAGCGGUGAAAUGCGUAGAUAUCGGAAGGAACAUCAGUGGCGAAAGCGACUUCCUGGACCAAUACUGACGCUCAUGUGCGAAAGCGUGGGGAGCAAACAGG
RNAcentral lists this ribosomal RNA (253 nucleotides) under uncultured bacterium. RNAcentral's name for it is "partial 16S ribosomal RNA". It matches the Rfam family "Bacterial small subunit ribosomal RNA", at positions 524 to 776 of the family's 1533-position model. The record is from RNAcentral.